Molecule: long non-coding RNA, 786 nt
Organism: Canis lupus familiaris (dog)
Lineage: Eukaryota; Metazoa; Chordata; Mammalia; Carnivora; Canidae
Exons: 2
Source: RefSeq, a predicted model, not a curated record
UUCAGGCUGUGCGGAGACACAGGGAGGGAAGCAGGUGUGGCAGGGCGACAGGUAAUCCCAGGCAAGCCAUCCAAGAGAAUGGGGAUCAGAUCUGGGCUCUCCACUAGGCCAGCUGUGUGACCCUGGACGGACAGAAAUAGGACGUGGCCUGUGGUGGAUGGCAUUUUCCAGAGACGGGUGCAAAACUGCCUCCGGUUCCUCAUGCUCUUCUUGCCAGGUGAUGUUGACACUCCUCCCGUGGAGCAGUGGGGCCUGUGUCCCCUCCCCUGGAAUCUCAGUGGCCUUUCUGCCAGCCUCAGUGAAUAGGGUGCAGCGUAAGUGACGCUCAGUGAGUUCUGAGCACAUCACCACAAUGCCAUGCACCCACCGUGCUUUCUUGGGACACCUGCUCUUGGAUCCCAGCGAGGUGGAAGCCCAAGCAGCCCGAGGAGAGGCUCCGGUGAGAGGAAUCGAGAGCCCGCCAGCCAUGUGAGUGAUCUGGAAAGCAGACUCCAUCCCCAGCUGAGCCACCUGCUGAUGCCCUGCUGAGCAGAGACAAGCCACCCCGGGCCCUCUGCAUGUCCUGCCUAAAUAGCAUCUCAUGAACAAAAUAAGUGAUUGUUUUUGUUUUAUGCCACUCAGUGUGAAGUGUUACCGUCAUACAGUAACGGAUAACUAAAGCAUCGUCCACAAAAAGAUUUUAAGCAGAACGAUGGUGUUGAAGUGAAAGACUGUAUGAUGAAAGACUGAAUGUAAACUGGCUUAAGGGGAUAAAAACAGAAAAAAAAAAAAAAAAGGCUAUAUUGG